Molecule: ribosomal RNA, 253 nt
Filed under: uncultured bacterium
Lineage: Bacteria
Description: partial 16S ribosomal RNA
Rfam family: Bacterial small subunit ribosomal RNA
Source: RNAcentral
GACAGAGGGUGCAAACGUUGUUCGGAAUUACUGGGCGUAAAGCGUGUGUAGGCGGCCAUAUAAGUCGGAUGUGAAAGCCCUGGGCUCAACCCAGGAAGUGCACUCGAUACUGUAUGGCUUGAGUACUGGAGAGGUUGGUGGAAUUCUCGGUGUAGAGGUGAAAUUCGUAGAUAUCGAGAGGAACACCGGUGGCGAAGGCGGCCAACUGGACAGAUACUGACGCUGAGGCGCGAAAGCGUGGGGAGCAAACAGG